Molecule: transfer RNA, 65 nt
Filed under: Pedicinus obtusus
Lineage: Eukaryota; Metazoa; Arthropoda; Insecta; Psocodea; Pedicinidae
Description: tRNA-Ser
Rfam family: tRNA
About the family: Transfer RNA (tRNA) molecules are approximately 80 nucleotides in length. Their secondary structure includes four short double-helical elements and three loops (D, anti-codon, and T loops).
Source: RNAcentral
GGCUUAUUAGCUUAUAACUUAAAGCUUUUACUUUGAAAGUAAAUGAAAGAGAUUUCUAUAAGCCU